RNAcentral lists this long non-coding RNA (341 nucleotides) under Eucalyptus grandis. Its description in RNAcentral is "long non-coding RNA (EGRA_LNC002394)". The record is from RNAcentral. Lineage: Eukaryota; Viridiplantae; Streptophyta; Magnoliopsida; Myrtales; Myrtaceae.
GGUGAUCUUCCUCGUCAUCCUGUGCUGCUUAUGCUACCGAGUGGGCAAGCGAAGGGGCAAAGAAGAAGGCCACGUCGUUGCAGCACAGGAGCUCGCCCCGGCCAAUGGAAUUCCGAUGCCGCCAUCGGUGCCUGGGUAUCCUCCUCCGCCCCCGCCACAGAACUUCCCUUCUCCUUCUCCUCAGAAUCCUACCGCCCCCCACAUCAAGCAACAACACGGCACGAGUUAUUAGUAAAUUUCUUGUAAAUAAUUACUAAAUCUAUGAUUUUGCCAGUGUGAUCAUGUCAUCAGUGAGAUAAACUGGAUUCCUUCUGUAUGUCCGAGUUUUGAUAUUCCAUCCG